AACGAACGCUGGCGGCAUGCCUAACACAUGCAAGUCGAACGAACCCUUCGGGGUUAGUGGCGCACGGGUGCGUAACACGUGGAAUCCGCCCUUUGCUUCGGAAUAACAGUUAGAAAUGACUGCUAAUACCGGAUGAUGUCGUAAGACCAAAGAUUUAUCGGCAAAGGAUGAGCCCGCGUAGGGAUUAGGUAGUUGGUGGGGUAAAGGCCUACCAAGCCGACGAUCCUUAGCUGGUCUGAGAGGAUGAUCAGCCACACUGGGACUGAGACACGGCCCAGACUCCUACGGGAGGCAGCAGUGGGGAAUAUUGGACAAUGGGCGAAAGACCUGAUCCAGCAAUGCCGCGUGAGUGAUGAAGG
Molecule: ribosomal RNA, 359 nt
Filed under: uncultured bacterium
Lineage: Bacteria
Description: bacterial SSU rRNA
Rfam family: Bacterial small subunit ribosomal RNA
Source: RNAcentral